CGUUACUCAAAAAUGUGGAUUAGAACAACGUUUUUACGAAAUAACGAACUCUUUGUUAAAUGUUGAAUUGCAAGAGCUCUUAUUUGGGCAUGACGACUUUCUGUUUUGUAAAGCUGAUGGCUUACACUACGAAAUAAACAGUUAGCAUAGGCAUUUCAUCUCAUUAUCUAUUGUUUUUAAUGCGUUCGGCACACGAGUAGCGUGACGUUUGAAACAAGUCUAACACAUCAGAAACGUCGUGCCUCGUGGAACUGAUACAAUUUAUUUACUUAUUGUGAUGCUACACGCGACAACUCGAAA
This is a non-coding RNA of Paramuricea clavata, 300 nucleotides long. Lineage: Eukaryota; Metazoa; Cnidaria; Anthozoa; Malacalcyonacea; Plexauridae. The record is from the annotation of a GenBank genome assembly.